Molecule: long non-coding RNA, 12272 nt
Filed under: Homo sapiens (human)
Lineage: Eukaryota; Metazoa; Chordata; Mammalia; Primates; Hominidae
Description: long non-coding RNA NONHSAT006185.2
Source: RNAcentral
CUUCUCCAUGCCCACCCUUUCUCUGCCAUCCUGCAUCCUCUUCAACUCUCUAUUGAAAAAUGAACAAAUGUUCAGAACAGAGGAAGUAGAGUGGUGGCACCAUCAAAGGCAGGAAGGGCCAGGAGAACCUGAUGGGAGCGGGGAUACAGACCUGGUUCUAGCUUCCAGUCUUCCAGUCACUAACUUUCUGCUGUGUGCAGGGCACAAUGGAAGUAAACACCACCCACUAUAUAUCCCCUGUGCCUGGCAUACAGAAUCAUUCAUACAUGUUGACCGAAGGGUUUCCUUUGCUUCUAGGGGAUUAUGUAUCAUUUUGGGAGGAAGCAUGUAUUCUGUGAGGUUGUUUAGUUUAUGUCCAAGCGCCAUUUACUAAUGUAUCCCUGCUCUUUGCUUUCGGUAUGUAUGUUCUUCCUCCACCUGACAAUUGUGCCCCCAAUGGUGGCCAGGCAGCAGCAUACCAAAGAGAUGUGCUGCAAGAUUUCAGAGGUGGGUGAGUGAGACAUGGGAAAGUGCACUCAGGUCUUGAAAGAGUCAGGAGUGGCCAGGGCAAAGAACAUGAACUGGUGCUGGAAUGAAGGAUUCUGGGAAGGUUGUGGAGACCUGGCUGGUAGCUAGAGCAGAGAUGAUGGAAUCCAAGGAAACAACUUCUCUCCGGUGAAUCAAGAUUUCUUCAGUGGACACUUAGUCCCAGCUCUGAUAGCCCUUACCCCUGUUUCCUGCCACAGUGUGGGUCAUAUGUAUUCUUUAUCAUAUGAGGAGAGUGCUAAUUAAUGUGUCAUUUAUUUUGUGAGCAUGCUAAUAAAUAUAUUCAUAUUCCAAUUUAGUGAAAAAAAACUGAUCUAGAGAUGCCCCUUUUCGAGGUGACAGCAUGGCUCUGGAGAGAUGGCCACAGGAACCAUGGCAGUGGACCAGGUUGCUGGGAGAAGGCAAAAGGGGAGGCACCCAAGCUGAGAAGGGGCUAAGCACUCAGCCCCUGGGACCACCAACAGCAGGCCUGAGACACAUGCAGGAAACCAGACAGCCUGGAUGAAAUUUCUUUCAAGAAAGGCCAGUGGUCCCUGACAGAACACCAGAGGUUUCCCCCUAAAUCCUUUCGCAUCUGUACCGUUUCCAUCUUAGUUGGAGCUCUUUGUUCUCAUCCUUGCAAUACGCAGAGAAAAAAAAAUCACAGGUUGUUGAUUGUUUGAAGAUAGGGUAUUGCUCUGUCACUCAGGCUGGAGUGCAGUAGCAUGAUCACGGCUCACUGCAGCCUCGAACAUCCGGGCUCAAGUGAUUCUCCCACGUCAGCCUCUGGUGUAGUUGGGACCAAAGGUGUGCCACCACAGAGGCAGGGUUUUGCCAUUUUGCCCAGAAUGGUCUCAAACUCCUGAGCUCAAGGGAUCAGCCUGCCUAGGCUUCCCAAAGUGCUGGGACUACAGGCAUGAGACACCUUGCCCAGCCAACCAGAGUUCUUUUUGAUGCCGAUAUUUUACUCGGACUCCACAUCUAGGUAGGAAUUCAUGUUUUCAAGUACGGACAUUGCUCUACACAAUCCUCUCCUUUCCUGAUCACUAAAUUAGAGUAAAUCACUGUCCUGAAGAAGGUACCCUUGGGAGAGUGGGUUGGCCUGUCUUUCCACCCUUUCUUGACUCUGCCCUCACCUUCAAGCCUCUUUCUGGCCUGUGUUCAAGGUCCAGAGGCAUGCUUAAGACCUCUCUGUGUGGCUCUUCUUGAAGAGUCAGGAACCCCAUACUUCCUGUUCAGCGGGCAGAGAAGCUUCAAGCCGCACAGUUUUGGGUAUGCUAGGAUCCCACAAGGCACAGAUGUGCAGUGGCCCACGAAGUGAGUUUGUGGGUCUCCAGUUACCUGCAGCCCUUUCUGCUCCUGUAGGUUAAAGGGCAAUUGCCUUUUUUUUUCUGUCCAGGAAGGACCCCAGAAUGUUCUGAGUUAGAAAGACAGUGAAUCCUCUCCUCUGGGUCAGUGGGGAGGGAGAGAGAGAGAUUUCAGAGGGAAGAAAGCAGAAAAAGAUGUCACAAAAUUGCCUAAUCAAAAGUUACCAUGAUGCCUGCCUCAUCUGGAACUGGGCUCCCAGUCUCUAGUGAGGGAGACAUAGUCCAGUCCAGUCCCAGUCUCCAGUCUGAGCCAAAGCAGAACAAAGCUGGACACUGCAGCCUGGCAUCCAACGAACAUUUUGUCACUUUCCCCAGGGUGGGAGCAUUUGAACUUUGGAUGUGAAGGAAACAUGGUAACCACUGCAGUAAGAAGAGCAACUGCUGGAGAAAAUGGCACUUUCUUCCCCAAAUUUGUUUUUACACUCAUGUCUAAGGAACACCUUAGAAACCACAUUAACAUCUUUCAGCAAAAGGAAAUUCUGCCUGUUGAUCUUUUGCUGUGAGACAAACUUGAAAAGUUCACAGACACUGCCUUUCUCUGAAAACUGCCCUUACCUCUUUGUUAUAAUUCACUUCAAGAUCUGUUGAGUAGGAACAUCAAAAAUGCAAAUAAAAAGUUUCAAGUAUUAUGAAAGAAUGCAAUAAAACUGCCUUUAAAAAAAAUCUCAAGAUGGAGGUGGAGAUCCUGUGAUCAUGAAAUCUGAAUAGGCUGCUCUUGUGUCCUUCAGUGGUGAUGGCUCUGAAACCCUUGUGUUUUAUGAACUUCACGCCCUGGUCUUCAAACGAAUUCAGUGCAGGCCAAGAAGCACAGUUUGGCCUGGGUUGGAUGCUCUAUAUUUUCAAAGAGUGAAAUGCCUUGAGACACAGCCUUUGCUAUAGUACCUGCUAAAACUUCAACGUGUGGAUAAAUAUAGCUUACAUUGAAUCGAAUAGACUCAGCGAGAGUGGCAGUGAAGGAUGCCCUCUGGAAGAUUCGAGGUGCUGAGGCCAAAGGGCUAGCAAGGAAAGAGCGUGCGGGUCAGGCCCUUCAGCCUGGUGGAAGAGCAGGCAGGGAGGGUCCUAUGGUUCCUGGGAGGACCCGAAGCAUGAUCGCCUGUCAAGAGCCAAGAGCCCUAAUGGCCAGCGCCGGGGAAAGGGCCCCCGAGGGGCAGUCAGCAGCCCUGCAGGGGCGGCGUUCACACUCCUGUGUGGCACGGGACACUCAUGGCUCCACCAGCUCCUGAAGCUUCUGGGAGCCAGAGAGUCAGCAGGGAGAAUCCCACACACGGGCACUCAGUUCCUGGAAACCCUGCAUGAGAUGCGGGAUCCCGAAGCCAGAUUGGGGGUCCCUAGGGUCUUGGCUUCGGGGCUAGGCGCGGAACCGUAAAUGAGGGUUCAGCCUGUCUGCCUGAGGGAUUGUGUUUCCUGGCGUAUUUAUCACUCAAAUUUUGAAAAGCAGUCGAAUUUGUUAUAUUGGAAACCCUAGUAGUUAAAAACAGCAGAUGGUAACAUUUCAGGAAUAUGUCUUGUGCCAGGAACUGUGAGGGGUUUCUGUAGUGUAGUGAUUACAUGUUCCCUUCACAUGUGAAAGGUCUCAGGUUUGGGACCUUUCAUCAUCAACAUGAUGAAACCCCGUCUCCAGUAAAAAUACAAAAAUUAGCCAGGCGUGGUGGUGCAUGCCUGUAAUCCCAGCUCCUCGGGAGGCUGAGGCAGGAGAAUUGCUUAAUUCCAAGAGGUAGAUGUUGCGGUGAGCUGAGAUUGUGCCAUUGCACUCCAGCCUAGGCAGCAAGAGUGAGACUACGUCUUAAAAAAAAAAAAAAGAAAGAAAGAAAAGAAAACAGAGGACUUUAAAACCGUUAUUAUGUCAAUAUUCUAUGGGUCCAAAGAAUUAAGCAGAGGUAUCAAACAUAUAAAAAUGGUCAGAAUCAAACUUUGGAGAUUAAAAACUACAACAUCUGAGAUAAUAAAUUCACUGGAUGCAAUUAACAGCAGAUUAGACACUGCAGAAAAAAAGAUUAUGAAACACAAAGCCGCCGGGCACCGUGGCUCAGGCCUGUAAUCCCAGCACUUUGGGAGGCGGAGGCGGGUGGAUCACGAUGUCCAGAGAUAGAGCCCAUCCUGGCUAAAACAGUGAGACCCCCGUCUUUACAAAAAAAAAAAAAAAAAAAAAAAAAAAAAUAUAUAUAUAUAUAUAUAUAUAUAUAUAUAUAUAUAUAUAUAUAUAAAAAUUAGCUGGACAUGGUGGCGGGCGCCUGUAGUCCCAGCUAAUCGGGAACCUGAGGCAGGAGAAUGGCAUGAACCCGGGAGGCGGAGCUUGCAGUGAGCCGAGAUGGUGCCACUGCACCCCAGCCUGGGCGACAGAGCAAGACUCCCUCUAAAAAAAAAAAAAAAAAAAAAAAAAAAAACCGCACUGAGGGGAAAAGUCAAUGUGAAAUUCUACAAAAGCUGAAAAUUCACUACCACCAGCCAUUACCACAAAAAAAAAAAAAAGUUGAAGGAGUCCUCCAGGCAGAACGAAACUGACAUCGGAUGAAAAUCUGGUUGUACAAAAAAAAAAAAAAAAAAAAACUAGACAUGACAUCUAAUAGACGAAUAUAUAAUUUUAACAUCUGACUGUUUAGCUGGGCGUGGUGGCUCACGCCUGUAAUCCCAGCACUUUGGGAAGCUGAGGCAGGCAGAUCACUUGAGGUCAGGUGGUUGAGACCAGCUUGGCCAAUAUGGUGAACCCCUCUCUCUACUAAAAAUACAAAAAUUAGUCCGGUGUGGUGGCCCACGCCUGUAAUCUCUGCUACUCAGGAGUCUGAGUCAGGACAAUCGCUUGAACCCGGGAAGCAGAGGUUGCAGUGAGCCAAGAUUGUUCCACUGCACUCCAGCCUAUCUGGAACCUAGUUUGAUCUGGAGGGAUCUUAUUUUAUAGGAGGCUUGGAGGGGGACCUUUUGCUUUAUGUACUUAUAGGAUGCACAAGACACAAGGGAACAAUCUCUCACUUUUUAAAUACAGUGAUAGGCCUGAGGAGAAACAACUGCAAUUUUUUUUUUUUUUUUUUUUUUAAUGAGAUGGGAUUCUCACUGGUCUUGAACUGAGCUCAGGCGAGGCUUCCCCUACGUCGGCCUCUCAAAGUGUUGGGAUUAAUAGGCGUGAGCCACCGCGCCUGACCACAACUAACCAACAUUUAAAAGCACGUCCCUGGGUAGGCUCGAACCACCAACUUUCCGGUUAACAGCCGAACGCGCUAACCAAUUGCUCCACGGAGAUAACCUCAGUUGGUCGCUUUCAUCUCAACAUAGAUUAAGCAAUCACUAAACUCUAGGGGUUGCCAUUCGCUUUCUGCAGGACAACUGUGCAGACUACAAAGCUUCGGAAAACCGGAGAGGCUGAGUCGACUAAUCGUGUUGUUGCACGUUAGAAACGCUUGCAUUGCCUGACUCUGAAACCAGAAGGGCGGCCGAAUGGCCUUCACCCUCCAUUAACCCUCGCCUCCUUCAGAAGCCAGUGCCUCUGGAAAUGCCUGGAUCUGCGACCCCAGCCUGAGCCUAGUAGGGCCCAAGGGAAGCUGAACGCCCCGACGGCUCUCAUGGUAGGUAGCUCUUUCUGUUUUUUUGCGCCGCCUUCAGGCAAUCAUCUACUCCGCUUGCUAUCCCCUCACUCAACUCGGCUUCAGUAGAUGGGGUUGGUGGGGCGGGAGCGGGAAAGAGGCAGGGGAGUCAAAAGGGAAAACCUGAAAAGAAGGAGGGAGAAGAAGCAGGGGAGACCAGGACGAGACAAUGGGACAGCCCAGGAUGCCGGUGCAGAGGGCAGCGGCUGGAUGCAGAGAAGAUGGGACACGUAUCAGAAUGGACUGGAGAAGACGUGAGGGAAAAUCACAAGAACCUGUAGCUGCCCAAGAAUAAACACGUAAAAAUCGCAUAAAUGUUUUUACAUUAAAAAAAAAAUCGGGGGACCGGGCGCAGUGGCUCACGCCUGUAAUCCCAGCACUUUGGGAGGCCGAGGUGGGUGGAUCACUCACUUGAAGUCAGGAGUUCGAGACCAGCCGGGCCAACAUGGUGAAAGCCCGUCUCUACUAAAAAUACAAAAAUUAGCUGGGUGUGGUGGCGACGCUUGUAGUCCCAGCUACUCAGGAGGCUGAGGCAGGAGAAUCGCUUGAACCUGAGAGGCAGAGGUGGCAGUGAGCCGAGAUCGCGCCACUGCCCUCCAGCCUGGGCGACAAAGCGAAAUUCUGUCUCUCAAAAAAAAUGCAUAAAUAAAUAAAAGAGGGGUGGGGAAGCAAAACGACGGGCAGUAGGUGUGGGGCGCAUUGGGAUUCUAUAGUGGUUAGUACCCUGCCUUGUGCCUGCAGCAACCUCUGUUCUAAUCUGAAUCCUGGUACAGUCAGACUCUAUCUUGGACCCACUGGGGCGAACCCACGAGUCUUUUGGUUUGCUUUUAAUUCCUGCACCAGCUGCGGCCUUUAUCUGCAGCCAGAAAGCAGGGUUUACCGCUGGCCCCACAGCGCCAUACGGUCUGGGGAAAAGAAGGAAACCCAAUAGUACACAAACAAAGGCCCAAAGAGAAACCUUCCAAGUGCUCUAUGCCUCACGGUUUAGCAGAAAAUAUCAAGCAACUCUCAACCUAGCUGGUCUGUAGCUUCCACAAAUGAAAUACUGUAUUCAUUGCAGCCUUUCUGGUUGAGAUAUUUCAAAUAUUUGGUGGGGCUUUUAAUGAGACGGAGAGACACUCUCGAGUGUGGAAGAAAAACAUGAGGGGGUGUGAGGAUAAGGCGACUUUAGGACAGAAAAAACAAAGAGACAAGGAAGCCACGUAAACGUUUUCGGGUAGGCGUGAGGCGAUGUCAGUUUUGAACCCCGUUUAUGUUAGGUAGAGAGCGCAGCCCUCUUCUAGCACAAACACCGUUUCCCACAUUGAAGAAAUCACAGAGAUCAGCAACUCUAGAGUGCGAUGAAGAAGCUUCACUCUGGGAGAACCCCCUUCGUGACCACGGUCUCUUUCCUGCCAGGUAAGUGGGAAUGAGCGCAUGCCCUGCAGGGACAGCACAGCGUCCUCGCCCUGGUCGGACGCUCAGGUUCACCACCCUACCCACUGCCCCCUUCGCCAUUCUUCCAAACCACUCUCUGCCAAAGAUUCCACCGACAGUCACCCCACACGACAACCCAGGCCGCCUUUCAGCAGUGGCUCCCGCCCCGCAACCACGCGCCCUCUCACCCCCGCGGUUCUGCCCGCCGCCUCUGUCCAGUCUGUGCACUUCACCUCCCUGGCUCCCGCUCUCCCCUGAGCUUACAGUGGACGCGGGGUUCUUCCAAACCCCUCUUGGGAAUACUGAAUGGAAAAGGGGGAGCGUGCGCAAGUGCUUGGUAGAGUGUAGACAUUGUGGGAUUUGACUGUGGUACCAUCGCUUUGACGUCCUAGUGCUGAUUUUUACACCUGCAUUCUGCUUAGGGCACUGGCAACAGUUUUCCGUUUGUGCCUACUCCACCUGCUGUCUUUGUUGGGUCAGCGAACAUCGCCUCCCUCUACCGCUCAAUCAGCAAAAGGGACCGCCCUUGAGGACCUCACCCGCCGCUCACUCCCCUCCCAACUUCGCGGGCAUCGCCUCCGGUCGCCUCUUCCGAAGGCCUAACGAGCAUGUUAGCUGCGAACGGAGGUGAGGAGGCUCCGCUGACUGACCGGUGCCCACGUCCAGGGCACGCACAAACGCCAUGACUUGGCUUGGCCUCUCUCUUAGUUAUUCACAGCUCAGCCCGAUAGGCACCUCUGGGGCGGCGACGGCAAAGAGGGUGCGCUUAUUAAGUGCAGCUCCACGGGGACUGGCCUCUCUGCACGGCUGUGUACACCUGAGCGAGACGCUCAGUCGCUCUCUAAAGCCGCUUCUGCGGAUGACAGACACGGAGAUAAACGUGAGAGGUGGCCCACCACGACUUGCCCUCCUUUGCCCGGGUUUGCCCCUCGCUGCGGAGGCUGUUCUACAUCUGGCCCUUGGAGCAGGCCGGCUGACAGCGUGGUAAAGGAAGAUUUCUGCGGGAGGGCGGCCAGUGCAAAACAAUUCCCUGACCGGGAAUCGAACCCGGGCCGUGGCGCUUUCAGCACCGAAUCCUAGCCACUAGACAACCAUGCAGAUGCGGAAAGCUGCUUUCUCUCCCUUCUUCGACCUGAAGCGACACUUUCCUGUGCUCUAGGAGGACUUGGGUCUUGUGAGAGUCGCCCUUUGCUCCUGGAGUCGUCUCACAAGGCCGUUCACUCCCUGCUUUCUUCAAAAAAAGAACCUGCAGGCGACACACCAAGGACUCCACGAGGGAGUCCUGAGUACUGGAGCGAGUUGCGGCCACGCGGCCGCAGCUCACCACUGGCCUAGAGAUGCCCUUUGCGAGGCGGCAGCAACUGACAAGAUGGUCGCGGGUCGCCGGGUCCGGAGCCGCCCACCAGGUUGCCAGGAGGAGGCGGGAGCGGGGAGGCGCCCGAGGUGAGACAGGGGCACCCUCUGCAUCAUAAAGGACCCAGACCCCGGCACCCUCAACAUCAUAAGGAAUCAGACGGAUGCGGAAACCGAGACGGGCUGGAUAGGAAACUCUUUCCAGGAAGGCUCCGGGGCACUCAACUGGUCUCCAACCUUCCCCUGCAACCUGUGACGCCUGCCAUUUUCCCAUUUUAGGCGAUGGCAACGCAACCCCUCCGUUUGCUCUGGGCAAAACUUCGAGAGUUCCCUCUGAAGCUGGAGCUUUUUCCUCAGAUCCAAGAUCCAAUUGGUCACCAAUUCGUGAUUUCCGUCGGCCAAGUGCGUGGGCAUUGAUCUACACGCGAGUUUCUCCACCUCUGCCGAAUGGCUACUUCGGGGUGGGGGAGGGGCCCUCCCGCCGUGGAUUGCAAGGUGUUUAGCAGCAUCUGUCUCCUCCGCUGACUAGACACAUGCCAGGGGGAUAACAUUCUCCCUCCCGCUUCCCCCAGCCGCGGCCUAGUGUCCCAGCGGGGUUGGGAGAGGCAUGUGAGGGCCAAGUUGCCCCCUGUUGAGAACCAUUGCUGCGCGUAGUCCUUCUCUCUGAACUUGUGCAGAGGACUCUCCAGGUGAAGGCUCAAGGGUGGAUCCAGCUCGAGACACCCUCGCUCCCCCUCACAGUCGGACCUUAGGAUUUAGGCUUUAACAUCUCCACAUCAUGAGAUUCGAAACCUUUAGGUCUUGUCUUCCGUUCUGUCCUCCAAAUCGGCCUCUUCCGAGCCUGUUGACCAGGGCCAGCCGGGCAGAGGGCUGGGCUCGCUCAACGAGGCUCCUCUCGCACCUCCUGGAGCUUCAGGCUUCUUUCCGUUGCAGAGAAGCUUUAUGGGCCAAUUCGUUCGGCAUCCCCGGGGGCAGGUGCGCGGUGCGCGGGGAAGAAGAGGAUUUGACUGCGGUUCUCCACCCCCGGCGCCCAACCUCCACCCCGGUGCGCGCGCUCUUCCAGGCUCCUGCUGGUCCCACUUGCCAGGAGUUAGGUCUCAGGUCAGCCUGAGCUCCUGAGACGCCCAGGCCCGGAAAGACACGUAGGGGAAACCAUCUGCUCACUUCUGUCCUGUCCGGAAGGGAUCCCUUUCUGACGGGAAAGAAAGGCGGUGAGUCCUGUCCUGUUGAGUAGGCGGAAGAGAGAUCAAAGGGAAGACAAGAAAAAUCCUGUGAGUUUUCAGGAUCUAAAGUUACCAUGAGGUCGACCUAACCUCCUCUGGAGGUCCUCCCGGUCCUCCCGUGGCUGUCGAAGGUGAAUCUAGCUUCCGUCUCCAGUUCGCCAAGGCGGACAAAGCCGACGACAAUGGGCCUGUCCACUAUCUUCUUUCAUAUGCACAAAAUGUCAGCUCUUCUUGUUUCUAACUUGCAACAUCCCACCUGAUGACCAGCUCAGCAAAUUAGAGACCCUCCAUGGGAUUCCAUCUCUGUCUUAGUUCGGGCUUCCAUAACUAUAUACCAUAAACUGGGUGGCUAAUUCACGACAGAAAUUUAUUUCUCACAGUUCUGGAGGUUGGAAGUCCGAGAUCAAGGUGCCAACAUGGUAGGGUUAUGAUGAGGGACUUUUUUCUGGUUGUAGACUGCCACCUUCUCAUUGUAUCCUCAGGGGGCAGAGAGAGCUCCCUGGGGUCCCUUUUAUAGUGGCAUUAGUCCCACUCAGACUAACGGGACUAAAUCCAGACCCAGUUAUUGCAAUGUGUGCAAAAGAACAAGGACUUGUACUAUCUGACUUCAAGGCUUACUAUAAGCUAUUACAGACAAGGCAUCAGGAGGGACAAAUAGAUAAACAGACUGAGUUAAGAGACCUGAAACUGAUCCACAGCCAUACAGUCAAUAAAUGAGCUUUCAAUGAAAGCAGUUCAAUAGAAGAAAAUAAAUCAUUUCAAUUAAUGGACUUUCAUAUGGAGGUGGGGGAGACCAACAAUGUUAUUCUCCCUCACACUACAUACAAAAGUAAUUUGAGGUGCAUUAUACACCAAAACUUAAAAGUUAAAGAUAUAAAGCAUUUCAAGGAUACUCUGUAGGUAAAGAUUAGCCUACCAACAAGUAGGACACUGAAAAAAUAUAUAUAAAAGACAUGAUAAAUUAGACUUCAUCAACAUUAGCCAUACCUUCUCAUCAAAAGAUACCACUAAGAAAGUGAAAAGGCAAGCAAGCCACAGACAGAGAGAAAAUAGUCACAAAACGUAUCUGACCUCCACAUCCUGUAAUUAGAAUUAUUGUGGUCUGGUACACUGCACCCAGUUUCUGCAGGAGUACUUUCUGGGUGUCUCUAAUGAGUAAGAGAGGGCCCCAUGGGAUAUUCCUACAGUUCCCAGAUGAACAGUGGGAAAGACUCUACGUUGACAAACCCCGGGGACCUGAAAACUCAGGUCCUCAAGGAGGGUAGAGGAUACCUGGACCCUGACCCAGACCCCUAGAUGGGCUGUGCCAAGAGACCCAGCAAGGGAAGGGAUUCCCUCCUGCCUCAGGUUCUCUGUUCUUCUGUGGUUAGAAGACCUGAACCCAACUCCCUCUCCAAGCAGUGGAGAUAGGGCUUUUCCAAGGGCUGGGGAUCUUGCUGUCCUAAGGACAGCUGAGCAAGGGGGUCGAGGAGGAGCUUGGGUGGUGGAGGAGAGGAAACCGGGUAAGAUGUGUGAAGCAGUCGGCUAUACCAGGCACAGAGAGGACCCACUGGGACACAAGAGCCUGCAUGUGAAGCCAGGCCUUGGGCCACCUUGUUCCUCAAAGGGGUGCUUACUUCCAUGGGAUCUUCAAAGGGACUGUGGAAAGAGAAGCCUUCAGCCCACACCUCUGAAUGCUUUUCCACCACAGCAUGCCCUGUGGCCUGUAUCCUGCUGGUGUGGAACAGUCAGACCCCUGCAGGGCUGCAGAGCCUCUGUACUGGGCGGCAUCCCAGCCUGAGUGCCAGAGCUCAGUGGGCAGGCCCCCGAGCAAGCAGAGAGGAGGGCACCUUUUGGACAGAACCUGUGGGACAAGAGCGACGUCUCAUCCUUUCAGGUUCCUCACAAAAUGACAGUCAGGAAGAUCAGGGUGCAGACCUGAUUUCCCACGAAGGGCUGAAAGCAGACAACCGGAGGGAGAGCAGCACCUGGGUCAAUGAGGUAGAAGACAGAAGACCACAGUGUACUUCUGCCCUCAACCUCACCCCCUCCCACCUACAUCCUCCACACCCCCUGACCACCUUCUUCAGAAACGUAAUAGGAAUCAAGAUCCCCCCUGGCCUGGUUGCUAUGGGAGGCACAGUGGCCUGAUGGAGCCUGAGGCAGGUGUGGGAAGAUGUGGAUUGUCUAACUGGAGGUUGGGAGUCCAGGGUGCAGAAGGAGAAGCUUGGAGUGCAGGAUUUGGUGGUAUGUGUGUGGCAGUAGGCACUAUGUUCUAAUUGCCAGUUUUUUUUUCUUCUUCCUUUUUUUCUCUAGCUAAACAAGCACUGGCCUUGAGAUAAGCAAUGCUGAAGCACUUGCAGCUCACCUAUUACCAUAAACUGACUGAGCCCUCCCUACACAAGCCGUAACUACUGCUUUGAUUGGACAAGAGACUGAUUUCAGUAGUUUUCUCUUGAUAAGAGACCACUGGCCGUGGGCGGGUUCUGGACAGUUUACAGAAGCUAUGCACUUGAUUGCCUUUGUGUCCCUGCUUCACCUUUUGAAGCAUAGGGCCUAAUUAUAAUGUAUUUAAAUGUUGUCUCCACCCCAAAGUGAACAUGGGUUGCAUGUAACAGGCAUGUUUACUCAGCAUGCAUGCAGCAGGAUCCCUUCACAAAUAUUCAGAGCUCCCCCUAUUCCCUGUUGAAUAUGUAUAUGUGGCCAGCCAGAUCAACGUAAAUCACUAUUCGCCCUCCCCUCCCUGGAAACCUACUUUUCGGGUUUCAGCAGGAAGCUAUGCCUCCCCGUCUGUCAGAAUGGCCACUUGCAGGCUGUAACCCUUUAUAAAAAAAUAAAAUCUCCUUUCUAAAUUU